GACGAACGCUGGCGGCGUGCUUAACACAUGCAAGUCGAACGGAAAGGCCCUGCUUGCAGGGUCCUCGAGUGGCGAACGGGUGAGUAACACGUGGGUGAUCUGCCCUGCACUUCGGGAUAAGCCUGGGAAACUGGGUCUAAUACCGGAUAGGAGCCAUUUUUAGUGUGAUGGUUGGAAAGUUUUUUCGGUGUAGGAUGAGCUCGCGGCCUAUCAGCUUGUUGGUGGGGUAAUGGCCUACCAAGGCGGCGACGGGUAGCCGGCCUGAGAGGGUGGACGGCCACAUUGGGACUGAGAUACGGCCCAGACUCCUACGGGAGGCAGCAGUGGGGAAUAUUGCACAAUGGGCGCAAGCCUGAUGCAGCGACGCCGCGGGGGGGAUGACGGCCUUCGGGUUGGAAACUCCUUUCGCUAGGGACGAAGCUUUUUGUGACGGUACCUAGAUAAGAAGCACCGGCUAACUACGUG
Molecule: ribosomal RNA, 465 nt
Filed under: uncultured bacterium
Lineage: Bacteria
Description: partial 16S ribosomal RNA
Rfam family: Bacterial small subunit ribosomal RNA
Source: RNAcentral